This 72-nucleotide transfer RNA is filed under the name Dipodomys ordii (Ord's kangaroo rat). It matches the Rfam family "tRNA". Rfam says of the family: Transfer RNA (tRNA) molecules are approximately 80 nucleotides in length. Their secondary structure includes four short double-helical elements and three loops (D, anti-codon, and T loops). Lineage: Eukaryota; Metazoa; Chordata; Mammalia; Rodentia; Heteromyidae. The record is from Rfam by way of RNAcentral.
GGGAAGGUGGCUCAGUGGUAGAGUGCUUGCCUUACAUGCAUGAGGCCCUGGGUUCAAUUCCUCAGCACCCCA